RNAcentral lists this ribosomal RNA (891 nucleotides) under metagenome. Its description in RNAcentral is "bacterial SSU rRNA". It matches the Rfam family "Bacterial small subunit ribosomal RNA", at positions 8 to 928 of the family's 1533-position model. The record is from RNAcentral.
AGAGUUUGAUCCUGGCUCAGGAUGAACGCUGACAGAAUGCUUAACACAUGCAAGUCUACUUGAACUUCGGUUUGGGUGGCGGACGGGUGAGUAACGCGUAAAGAACUUGCCUCACAGUUAGGGACAACAUUUGGAAACGAAUGCUAAUACCUGAUAUUAUGAUUUUAGGGCAUCCUAAGAUUAUGAAAGCUAUAUGCGCUGUGAGAGAGCUUUGCGUCCCAUUAGCUAGUUGGAGAGGUAACGGCUCACCAAGGCGAUGAUGGGUAGCCGGCCUGAGAGGGUGAACGGCCACAAGGGGACUGAGACACGGCCCUUACUCCUACGGGAGGCAGCAGUGGGGAAUAUUGGACAAUGGACCAAAAGUCUGAUCCAGCAAUUCUGUGUGCACGAUGACGUUUUUCGGAAUGUAAAGUGCUUUCAGUUGGGAAGAAAAAAAUGACGGUACCAACAGAAGAAGUGACGGCUAAAUACGUGCCAGCAGCCGCGGUAAUACGUAUGUCACAAGCGUUAUCCGGAUUUAUUGGGCGUAAAGCGCGUCUAGGUGGUUAUGUAAGUCUGAUGUGAAAAUGCAGGGCUCAACUCUGUAUUGCGUUGGAAACUGCAUGACUAGAGUACUGGAGAGGUAAGCGGAACUACAAGUGUAGAGGUGAAAUUCGUAGAUAUUUGUAGGAAUGCCGAUGGGGAAGCCAGCUUACUGGACAGAUACUGACGCUAAAGCGCGAAAGCGUGGGUAGCAAACAGGAUUAGAUACCCUGGUAGUCCACGCCGUAAACGAUGAUUACUAGGUGUUGGGGGUCGAACCUCAGCGCCCAAGCUAACGCGAUAAGUAAUCCGCCUGGGGAGUACGUACGCAAGUAUGAAACUCAAAGGAAUUGACGGGGACCCGCACAA